RNAcentral lists this ribosomal RNA (261 nucleotides) under uncultured archaeon. RNAcentral describes it as "partial 16S ribosomal RNA". It matches the Rfam family "Archaeal small subunit ribosomal RNA", at positions 748 to 1009 of the family's 1478-position model. The record is from RNAcentral.
CAGCCCUAAACGAUGCGCGUUAGGUGUAUCGGUGACCACGAGUCACCGAGGUGCCGAAGGGAAACCGUGAAACGUGCCGCCUGGGAAGUACGGUCGCAAGGCUGAAACUUAAAGAAAUUGGCGGGGGAGCACCACAACGGGUGGAGCCUGCGGUUUAAUUGGACUCAACGCCGGGAAGCUCACCGGAUAAGACAGCGGAAUGAUUGCCGGGCUGAAGACCCUGCAUGACCAGCUGAGAGGAGGUGCAUGGCGUAGUCGUGU